This is a non-coding RNA of Rattus norvegicus (Norway rat), 3338 nucleotides long. NCBI's taxonomy places the organism in Eukaryota, Metazoa, Chordata, Mammalia, Rodentia, Muridae. The record is from RefSeq and is a predicted model, not a curated record.
GGAAAUGGAAUGCGUAGGGAACAUAUGAUCAGGAAACUGGAAAUUGAAAUAGUAUUUUAAAUGUUUAUAUCUACUUAAAAAUCUAGUUAAAAGGAAUUAAUUUUGCUAAAAUAUAAAAAAAAUGAAUGAUAUAAAAGAAAAUAAAUGUGCAAAGUCAUAACAAUUAUUGGCUCAGAAAUUUAAAGUCAUAGUCAUUGUAAUACUAGUGGAAAGACUGAGAUGAUGAAGUCUCAACUAGAAGAAUAUUCUCUCCCAAUAAUCAGUGUCAGACACAAACUGCACUAUAGGUGUCCAAAGCACAGAGGAGAUGAUUAACUUGAGUUAGGGACAGAAUAUUUGUUUUUCCCUUCUCCUUAGUACCUUUUCUUCUUGACAAAAAGAGUAAAGGUCCUUAGCUCUCAUUAAAACAACUGUGCCUUUCACAACACUUGGUUUUUGGAAUAAAGAAAUGAACGAUAUAAUCCCUCAGGAACCAUAAGAACAGGAAAGUCCUGUUGUUUCUGAGAGUCUCCAAGCUCAUGAUUCCCUUAUUUAUAAGGCUCAGAUUAAGGCUAUCUUUUCAGCGAUAUCACUCAAGCCCUACAAAGGACUCACUGAACUUUCCAAAGGACCACAUUUUUCUUCCUUAUUUUUUAUACCAAGACAGAAGGCCCGCUUCCUUCUCCCCAUUUCCAAACACUUCUUCCUCUUUGUUACCACACCACAAUUUGCUCUGAAUUAGAGAAUAUUAGUAAAACCUAUUGGUGAAGGAAUAACUGAGAGGCAGUUGCAGUCACGACAAUAGUUGUGACAUCACAGAAGCUAGGACGCUCAAGGUUACAAGAGAGUUUUCAGGGAGGUCCUAAUGAUUAUGGCACUGAGAACUGCUGUGGACUACCUGCUGAACACAUUUCCUUACAUUGACCAGAUUCGAAUUUUCACUUUCCAAGUAUGUCUCCCGUUACACAGUUGAAACCUAUACAUAACACAUCUCUCUAAAGCUAGAGACUUCUCUCUGCUUCACAAGUGGUUACAUGCUCUGAAUGGAGAAAAUUAGAGAGGGUAGAAAAGAUUUAGGAACAUGGAGUGUAGGAGAUAAUUCUAGAUAAUAUUUUUUUUGGUUCUUUUUUUUGGAGCUGGGGAUCGAACCCAGGGCCUUGCGCUUCCUAGGUAAGCGCUCUACCACUGAGCUAAAUCCCCAGCCCCUCUAGAUAAUAUUUUUAUUCCCAGUUUCAUUCCGUUGAUAUAAAGUUCAAUUUUCUGUGUUUUCUCUGUUUCCCAAAGGCCAGUAUUUUCCCUACAGACCUUUAAUUGAAUGAAUAUUGUAUUUCAAUUCCUUAUGUUUAAUUCCUUGAUAGGGGGUUUUGUAAAUAUUCCUCAAUGUGUACUCAAUAAUUCUGUUUUCUAAUUUCAUUUUCUGCAAUGAUUUUUGUCACAAAGUGGGCCCAGCUAUAUAGUGAGUAUAACAGCAUAAAUACUGUAAAACUACUUCAAAUGAUAAACUCACAAAUAUUUAUUUUAAUAAAAAAAUUACCAGACAUCAGGAAAUCAAAAACAACAUGGACUAUUGUAUUUGGUUAUCUAAUCCCAUUUGAUAUCAGUACUACACUAUCUAGCUUCCAGUUUUCCCAUAGCCAGAACUGAGGGUUUAGGAUGUUUUACCAAGAUUCUUUCUUAAAACCAAAUGUAAGAUACCAGAUGAUGGGCAGGAAGAAGAAUGGCUUGAGGACCAGUUAUACGUCUACUUCAAUAGGUUCAUAAAAACAGGACGGAAUCUAUUUGCAUUGUCAUUUCUUAAUUCUACAUUCUUCACAUAGUUCAGCAAAAUCCAUGUAAACAUUCCACUUGACAAAAUAGGUGUAAGAGCCACCAAAAUUAUAUUUGUACUCAUCAGCCAAACAAACUAGAUAAGAUUGAUGAAGGUAAGAAGUUCAUUCUGCAAGGAACCAGGUAUAAAUAUUUACUGAGAGAUACAGAUACAGCCUGUCAAAUACAAAAGUGAAUGCUGGGACAUACCAGUUAACUGAACACAGACCUCUUGUUGGUAAAUUUUGAAAAAGGAUUCAAAGAGCUGAAGGUGCUUUCAACCCGAGAAGAAUAACAAUGCCAGUGACCAGCGCUUUCUUAUAAUAGACAGAUUUACAAAGAAAGUACAUGGACUAACCUAUGGCUCCAAAUGCCUAUGUGGCAGAAAAUGGCCUUUUUGGGCAACAUUGGAAAGAGAAGCUCUUGUAUUCCCUACUUUGUCUCCCAGUUCAAGGGAAUGCAUUGCGGCAGAAAGGCUGGUUUGAAAAGAAGGAAAUGGAACGGGUAGGAACCUUAUGGGCAGGAAACUGGGAAAGGAAAUAAUAUUUUAAAAGUAAAUAUAGAAACAUCCAGUUAUAAAACAAUAAAUUUUGGUAAAAAAUAAAAAAAAGAAUGAUAUGAAAGAAAGAAAGCUGCCAAGUAAAAAGACAUCUUGACACAGAAAUCUGAAGUGUUAUUCAGAGUAAUACUAGUGGAAAGACUGAGAUGAUGAAGUCUCAACUACAAAUACUUCUCUAUCCCAGAUAUCAGUGUGAGAGACAAACUGUACUAUAGGUAUCCAAAGCGUGGAGGAGUUUAUUCAGAACUAGGGAUACAAUACUUGUUUUUCCCUUCUUCCUUAGGACCUUUUCUUCUUGAAAAAAAGAGUAAGGGUCAUGAGUUCUCAGGAAAACAACUGUGCCCUUCACAACACUUGGCUUUUGGUAUAAAGAAAUUAAUGAUAUAAACUCUCUUAUUUCAAGGAACCAUAAGAACAGAGAAGUCCAGAUAAGAACAGAGACGUGGAAAUGCUUCUGAGAGUCUCCCAGCUCCUGAUUCCCUUAUGUGGAAGACUCAGAUCAAUGCUAUCUCUUCAGCGAUAUCACUCAAACCCUACAAAGGACUCACUGAACUUUCCAAAGGACCACAUAUUUCUUCCUUGUUUUUUAUACCAGGAAAGAAGAUCAGCUUUUUUCUCCCUAUUUCUAUUCUCUUCAUCGUCUUUGUUAUCACUCCCAAAUGUGCUCUGAAGUAGAGGCCUAUUAGUAAACCCUAGAAGUACUGAAAGAAUAUCUCAGAGGAAGUUGCAGUCACAACAACACUUGUGACAUCACAGAAGAAUCUAGUGCUCUCCAGGUUAGAAGAGAGUUUUCAGGGAAUGCCUAACAAUGAUGUCACUGAAAACUGUCAUGGCCUACCUGAUGAACACCUUUCCUUACAUUGACCAGAUUCAAGUUUGCACUUUAUAGGACCUUUUCUUCUUGCGAAAAAGUGUAAAGGUCAUGAGUUCUCAGGAAAACAACUGUGCCCUUCACAACACUUGGCUUUUGGAAUAAAGAAAUAAAUGAUAUAAA